RNAcentral lists this ribosomal RNA (253 nucleotides) under uncultured bacterium. RNAcentral describes it as "partial 16S ribosomal RNA". It matches the Rfam family "Bacterial small subunit ribosomal RNA", at positions 524 to 776 of the family's 1533-position model. The record is from RNAcentral.
GACGAAGGUGGCAACCGUUGCUCGGAUUCACUGGGCAUAAAGCGCGCGUAGGUGGCAUAGCAGGUCAUCGGUGAAAUACCUCGGCUCAACCGAGGAAGUGCCGAUGAAACCGCUUUGCUUGAGGUCGGGAGAGGAGAGUGGAACUCUUGGUGUAGCGGUGAAAUGCGUAGAUAUCAAGAGGAACACCGGUGGCGAAAGCGGCUCUCUGGACCGAUCCUGACACUGAGGCGCGAAAGCUAGGGGAGCAAACAGG